AUUGAACGCUGGCGGAAUGCUUUACACAUGCAAGUCGAGCGGCAGCGCGGCCUUCGGGCUGGCGGCGAGCGGCGAACGGGUGAGUAAUGCAUCGGAACAUGCCCAGUCGUGGGGGAUAACACUUCGAAAGAAGUGCUAAUACCGCAUACGUCCUGAGGGGGAAAGCGGGGGAUCGCAAGACCUCGCGCGAUUGGAGUGGCCGAUGUCAGAUUAGCUAGUUGGUGGGGUAAAGGCCUACCAAGGCGACGAUCUGUAGCUGGUCUGAGAGGAUGAUCAGCCACACUGGGACUGAGACACGGCCCAGACUCCUACGGGAGGCAGCAGUGGGGAAUUUUGGACAAUGGGGGCAACCCUGAUCCAGCCAUUCCGCGUGAGUGAAGAAGGCCUUCGGGUUGUAAAGCUUUUUCGGCAGGAACGAAACGGUGGGCUCUAACAUAGUCCGCUAAUGACGGUACCUGAAGAAGAAGCACCGGCUAACUACGUG
RNAcentral lists this ribosomal RNA (484 nucleotides) under uncultured bacterium. RNAcentral describes it as "partial 16S ribosomal RNA". It matches the Rfam family "Bacterial small subunit ribosomal RNA", at positions 30 to 507 of the family's 1533-position model. The record is from RNAcentral.